This 1534-nucleotide long non-coding RNA is filed under the name Homo sapiens (human). RNAcentral describes it as "non-protein coding LINC01978:16". Lineage: Eukaryota; Metazoa; Chordata; Mammalia; Primates; Hominidae. The record is from RNAcentral.
GCCGAGCCCAGGCCUGCACCCUAGGCAGGCACUGCUCCGUGAUCCAGGAACCACCUCUCUCUACAGCUGGGAGUGAGCAGUCAGAGAGGGAGACAGCCUUGCCCGGUGCUACCCAGCAAGCUAGUCACCGAGUGGGCAGAGGGAGGAGCGGCCCUCACCGGAUGUCAAGCAGCCUGGGUCCCCAGUCCAGCUCUGCCUGUCCCUCGCAAUAACGCCUCAGAUGGGGAAACUGAAGCCCAAUGUCACGGAGGUAGGAAGGGGCAGACGUAGACUUGGAAGGAUUCUGUGGCCUGUUCGAGGUUCCGUGCAUGAGCCGUGCUCCGUGGAGAGCCAGGUCUACCGUUCCAGCCUUUGCUCUCCCAGGCCCCUGGCUGUCCAUGUCCCACACCACCCUGACACCUGAUACUUGACACCCGUGUCACCAACAGCUACAGUGCACCACGGCCUUGGAACACCGCACUCAGUGCUCUGCCUGGAUGAGCCCUGUACCCCCAUGACGACCCCACUGUGGACAUUCUUAUGUCCAUUUUACAGAUGACGAAACUGAGACGGGCGGAUGCAGUGUUGUGCACAAGCCACACAGCUGGAAACGUGGGCUGGGGACUGGAACCCAAUUACCCGCUUUGGCUCUAUAAUCCUCUUUUUAUUUUUAUUUAAUUUUUUUAUGAGAUGGAGUGUAGCUCUGUCGCACAGGCUGGAGUGCAGUGACACGAUCUCAGCUCACUGUAACCUCUGCCUCUCGGGUUCAACCCAUUCUUGUGUCUCAGCCUCCCAAGAAGCUGGGAUUACAGUUGUGUGUCACCACGCCUGGCUAAUUUUUUGUAUUUUUAGUAGAGAUGGGGUUUCCCCAUGUUGGUCAGGCUGGUCUCGGACUCCUGACCUCAGGUGAUCUGCCCACCUCUACCUCCCAAAGUGCUGGGAUUACAGGCAUGAGCCACCGUGCCCGGCCCUUUAAUCCUCUUUUUAAAACACCUUAGGAUAUGAUAUAUCCAGAAUAGGCAAAUCCAUAGACACAGAAUGCAGAUCCGUGUGCCAGUGGCUAGGGGGUGAAGAGGAACUGCUGAAUGAGCGGGCGUUUCCUCCUGGGGUGACCAGCAUGUUCUGCGACUGCAGAUGAUGGCUGUGCCACCUUGUGAGGGUACUAAAUGCCGCCGAAUGGUACACCUUAAACUGGUUGAUUUUAUGUUAUAUGAACUUCCCUUCCAUACAUUAUUUGAGGCUGGGCACGGUGGCUCACACCUGUUAUCCCAACACUUUUGGAGGCCGAGAUGGGUGGAUCAUCUGAGGUCAGGAGUUUGAGACCAGCCUGACCAAAAUGGUGAAACCCCGUCUCUACUAAAAAUACAAAAAAAUUAGCUGGGUGUGGUGGCGCAUGCCUGUAAUCCCAGCUACUCAGGAGGCUGAGGCAGGAUAAUCGCUUGAAUCCGGGAGGCAGAGAUUGCAGUGGGCCUAGAUCGUGCCAUUGUACUCCUGCCUAGGUGACAGAGCAAGACUCCGCCUCAAAAAUAAAAAAUAAAAAAUAAAUUAUUUGGAA